This 492-nucleotide ribosomal RNA is filed under the name uncultured bacterium. Its description in RNAcentral is "partial 16S ribosomal RNA". It matches the Rfam family "Bacterial small subunit ribosomal RNA", at positions 30 to 507 of the family's 1533-position model. The record is from RNAcentral.
AGUGAACGCUGGCGGUAGGCCUAACACAUGCAAGUCGAACGGCAGCACAGUAAGAGCUUGCUCUUACGGGUGGCGAGUGGCGGACGGGUGAGGAAUACAUCGUAAUCUACUUUUUCGUGGGGGAUAACGUAGGGAAACUUACGCUAAUACCGCAUACGCCCUACGGGUGAAAGCAGGGGAUCUUCGGACCUUGCGCGAUUGAAUGAGCCGAUGUCGGAUUAGCUAGUUGGCGGGGUAAAGGCCCACCAAGGCGACGAUCCGUAGCUGGCCUGAGAGGAUGGUCAGCGACACUAGAGCGGGGACAGGGACCAGACUACUGCGGGAGGGAGCAGAGGGGAAUAGGGGACAAUGGGCGGAAGCCUGAUCCAGCGAGACCACGUGGGAGGAGAAGGCGUUCGGGUUGUAAAGCCCGUUUGUGGGGAGAGAAAAGCAGCAGGUUAAUACCACGCUGUUCUGACGGUACCCAAAGAAUAAGCACCGGCUAACUACGUG